ACAGCAGCCGCCGCGGUAAUACGAAGGGGGCUAGCGUUGUUCGGAUUUACUGGGCGUAAAGGGCGCGUAGGCGGACUGAUAAGUCAGGGGUGAAAUCCCAAGGCUCAACCUUGGAACUGCCUUUGAUACUGUUUGUCUUGAGUUCGAGAGAGGUAAGUGGAACUGCGAGUGUAGAGGUGAAAUUCGUAGAUAUUCGCAAGAACACCAGUGGCGAAGGCGGCUUACUGGCUCGAAACUGACGCUGAGGCGCGAAAGCGUGGGGAGCAAACAGGAUUAGAUACCCGAGUAGUCCCUGUCUCUUAUAC
Molecule: ribosomal RNA, 305 nt
Filed under: uncultured bacterium
Lineage: Bacteria
Description: partial 16S ribosomal RNA
Rfam family: Bacterial small subunit ribosomal RNA
Source: RNAcentral